This 467-nucleotide ribosomal RNA is filed under the name uncultured bacterium. Its description in RNAcentral is "partial 16S ribosomal RNA". It matches the Rfam family "Bacterial small subunit ribosomal RNA", at positions 29 to 507 of the family's 1533-position model. The record is from RNAcentral.
ACGAACGCUGGCGGCGUGCUUCACACAUGCCAGUCGAACGGAAAGGCCCUGCUUUUGUGGGGUGCUCGAGUGGCGAACGGGGGGGUAACACGUGAGUAACCUGCCCUUGACUUUGGGAUAACUUCAGGAAACUGGGGCUAAUACCGGAUAGGAGCUCCUGCUGCAUGGUGGGGGUUGGAAAGUUUCGGCGGUUGGGGAUGGACUCGCGGCUUAUCAGCUUGUUGGUGGGGUAGUGGCUUACCAAGGCUUUGCCGGGUAGCCGGCCUGAGAGGGUGACCGGCCACAUUGGGACUGAGAUACGGCCCAGACUCCUACGGGAGGCAGCAGUGGGGAAUAUUGCACAAUGGGCGGAAGCCUGAUGCAGCAACGCCGCGUGCGGGAUGACGGCCUUCGGGUUGUAAACCGCUUUCGCCUGUGACGAAGCGUGAGUGACGGUAAUGGGUAAAGAAGCACCGGCUAACUACGUG